Molecule: long non-coding RNA, 253 nt
Organism: Toxotes jaculatrix (banded archerfish)
Lineage: Eukaryota; Metazoa; Chordata; Actinopteri; Toxotidae
Exons: 3
Source: RefSeq, a predicted model, not a curated record
CCCUAAAAAAGUCUGUGUGGGGACCAUGAGAUCCAGACCAAAAGCUCAGAGGCCAGAGCAGCAGCACACACCAGACUCUGCUGGACCUGGACCUGAACAUGGACCUGAGCCCAGCUGUGUGUCCAUGAAGCGUGACAGGUCAAAUGAUCGCCUCAUUAAUUUCAAAGGACAGCCUCCCUCUGCUGCAAAGAAGAUCCAUCAGAGACCAGACUUCCCUGUACCUGAGCCCAGCUGUGUGUCCAUGAAGAGUGAC